AUUGAACGCUGGCGGCAGGCUUAACACAUGCAAGUCGAACGGUAACAGGGGGUAGCUUGCUACUUUGCUGACGAGUGGCGGACGGGUGAGUAACGCGUGGGAAUAUGCCCUUCUCUACGGAAUAGUCUCGGGAAACUGGGGGUAAUACCGUAUACGCCCUUUGGGGGAAAGAUUUAUCGGAGAAGGAUUAGCCCGCGUUGGAUUAGGUAGUUGGUGGGGUAAUGGCCUACCAAGCCGACGAUCCAUAG
This 248-nucleotide ribosomal RNA is filed under the name uncultured bacterium. RNAcentral describes it as "partial 16S ribosomal RNA". It matches the Rfam family "Bacterial small subunit ribosomal RNA", at positions 30 to 286 of the family's 1533-position model. The record is from RNAcentral.